This 311-nucleotide ribosomal RNA is filed under the name Candidatus Saccharimonadota bacterium. RNAcentral describes it as "partial 23S ribosomal RNA". It matches the Rfam family "Bacterial large subunit ribosomal RNA", at positions 2607 to 2925 of the family's 2925-position model. The record is from RNAcentral. Lineage: Bacteria; Candidatus Saccharimonadota.
GGGUUCAGAACGUCGUGAGACAGUUCGGUUUAUAUCCGGCAUGAUCGUUAGGAAUUUUGAGGAGAUCUACCUCUAGUACGAGAGGACCGAGGCGGACGAACCUCUAGUGUAUCGGUUGUGGCCACCUGCUGCAUUGCCGAGUAGCUAUGUUCGGAAGGGAUAAGCGCUGAAAGCAUAUUAAGCGCGAAGCCCACUCCAAGAUAAGAAUUCCCUAUGACCCUCCAGAAAGAAGAUCUGGUUGAUAGGCGCAAGGUGGAAGCAUGGUAACAUGUGGAGCCGAAGCGUACUAAUCUGGGCAUUGCCUUUUUAUG